RNAcentral lists this ribosomal RNA (460 nucleotides) under uncultured bacterium. RNAcentral's name for it is "partial 16S ribosomal RNA". It matches the Rfam family "Bacterial small subunit ribosomal RNA", at positions 338 to 795 of the family's 1533-position model. The record is from RNAcentral.
CCUACGGGUGGCAGCAGUGAGGAAUAUUGGUCAAUGGGCGAGAGCCUGAACCAGCCAAGUCGCGUGAAGGAUGACGGCCCUACGGGUUGUAAACUUCUUUUGUCAGGGAGCAAGUGGGUCCACGCGUGGGCUUAGCGAGAGUACCUGAAGAAAAAGCAUCGGCUAACUCCGUGCCAGCAGCCGCGGUAAUACGGAGGAUGCGAGCGUUAUCCGGUUUUAUUGGGUUUAAAGGGUGCGUAGGCGGAAUAUCAAGUCAGCGGGAAAAAUUAGGGGUUCAACCCCGUCGUGCCGUUGAAACUGGUGUUCUUGAGUAGACGAGAGGUAGGCGGAAUGCGUGGUGUAGCGGUGAAAUGCAUAGAUAUCACGAAGAACUCCGAUUGCGAAGGCAGCAUACCGGCGCCCAACUGACGCUGAAGCACGAAAGCGUGGGUAUCGAACAGGAUUAGAUACCCUUGUAGUC